AAUGGAGGCAACUCUGAUCCAGCAAUGCCGCGUGUGUGAUGACGGCCCUAGGGUUGUAAAGCACUUUCAACGGUGAGGAUGAUGACGGUAGCCGUAGAAGAAGCCCCGGCUAACUUCGUGCCAGCAGCCGCGGUAAUACGAAGGGGGCGAGCGUUAUUCGGAAUUAUUGGGCGUAAAGGGCUCGCAGGCUGCUUGAACAGUUAGACGUGAAAUCCCCGGGCUCAACCUGGGAACUGCGUUUAAUACUAGCAAGCUAGAGAAAUAGAGAGGAAAGUGGAACUCCCAGUGUAGAGGUGAAAUUCGUAGAUAUUGGGAAGAACACCAGUGGCGAAAGCGACUUUCAGGCUAUUUUCUGACGCUGAGGAGCGAAAGCGUGGGGAGCAAACUGGAUU
Molecule: ribosomal RNA, 392 nt
Filed under: uncultured Gammaproteobacteria bacterium
Lineage: Bacteria; Pseudomonadati; Pseudomonadota; Gammaproteobacteria
Description: bacterial SSU rRNA
Rfam family: Bacterial small subunit ribosomal RNA
Source: RNAcentral